AUCAGCUAUGCAUUGGGCUUGUAUAUAACAGAAGCAGACUGAAGCAAUGAGUGCAGAAGUAGCCAUUGCUCUCGAAAAUUCAAGCAAAACGAAGGCAGCAGUAUGCCAAGAGCCGCAUUACUUAGGAUUUCAUCAAAGCACACUCAACACCCUGCCACAAAACAAGAGAUAAUGAUUCCUCUCGCUAUUUCUAUGUUAAAACUAGAACUGAAAUUACAAUGACAAAACAAGUGAACUUCCUGCCAUGCCAAAACACGUAGCUGAGCUUUCUUUUAGGUAUAGAGUUAGGUAUAGUCUUCCCAUAUUUUUGAGUUAGGUUUAAUUUUUGUCUUGCCUUUUCUCCCGAGGAUCAUCGCACCAUAAGAAGAAAUGUCUGGACGCGGAAAGGGAGGCGAGGACUGGCGAAGGAAGGCGCGGAACGUGAGCGAACGGGCUUCGCAGUCUUCUAUGACAAGCAAUGUCUGGACGUUACCGGUACCGUCACCGAAGGCGCUUCACAACAUCCGGGGAGACAGUGGUCCUGGCGGAAGGCGUCUUAGCAUCGUGGCUGGAUUUCAGAAGCCUCUGAGAUUACAAAUGUCUGGACGCCAUAAGGAAGCAGAGGUCAAGCGCGCGUCACCGUCACUGACAUGACAAUAUCGUGCUUCGUGACAACACCACGUGCAUCACCAAGAAGGUGGACAGUCUUUCCUAUAAUAAGUUGUUUGUGUUGUACAAUAUUGUCUGAAUGCAGUAGCAUAGCAAUAUUUGUUAUUUUUUAACAUUACACUGAACCAAGGAGAUUCAAUCAAACCUCCUUGAUUAAACCUGUGUUUGAGAAUAUAUAAAGUUUAUUGCAAAUUCU
This is a long non-coding RNA of Branchiostoma floridae (Florida lancelet), 844 nucleotides long. RefSeq lists it as uncharacterized. The record is from RefSeq and is a predicted model, not a curated record. Lineage: Eukaryota; Metazoa; Chordata; Leptocardii; Amphioxiformes; Branchiostomatidae. The transcript has 3 exons.